This 74-nucleotide transfer RNA is filed under the name Arcanobacterium pluranimalium. Its description in RNAcentral is "tRNA-Ile". It matches the Rfam family "tRNA". From Rfam's summary of the family: Transfer RNA (tRNA) molecules are approximately 80 nucleotides in length. Their secondary structure includes four short double-helical elements and three loops (D, anti-codon, and T loops). Further hydrogen bonds mediate the characteristic L-shaped molecular structure. tRNAs have two regions of fundamental functional importance: the anti-codon, which is responsible for specific mRNA codon recognition, and the 3' end, to which the tRNAs corresponding amino acid is attached (by aminoacyl-tRNA synthetases). tRNAs cope with the degeneracy of the genetic code in two manners: having more than one tRNA (with a specific anti-codon) for a particular amino acid; and 'wobble' base-pairing, i.e. permitting non-standard base-pairing at the 3rd anti-codon position. Lineage: Bacteria; Bacillati; Actinomycetota; Actinomycetes; Actinomycetales; Actinomycetaceae. The record is from RNAcentral. RNAcentral also lists the same sequence under 1 other name.
GCCCCUGUAGCUCAGACGGUUAGAGCAGGGAACUCAUAAUUCCAGGGUCGCGGGUUCAAGUCCUGCCGGGGGCA